This is a long non-coding RNA of Clupea harengus (Atlantic herring), 453 nucleotides long. RefSeq lists it as uncharacterized. The transcript is spliced from 3 exons. The record is from RefSeq and is a predicted model, not a curated record. NCBI's taxonomy places the organism in Eukaryota, Metazoa, Chordata, Actinopteri, Clupeiformes, Clupeidae.
CUUGAAUGUGUGCCGUACAAUCCAGUUACCCAAAACUAUGCCACUGUUCAGACCAACAUUGAGUUGACUGAUGGCCCAAAGAAUGUCACUAUCUCUGGGCCAAACUCACUACAGGUAGGACUGAAGUCCACUUUUGAGUGCUCAGCUGUCUGCUCCCCACCUUGCGUCUACACAUGGGAGCUCUAUGGGAAAACACUGCAAGGCAGUAAGGUGGAGCUCACCAUCAGCCACUAUGUGGCCACUGAAACCCUGAUAUGCAUAGCAGUGAAUGCCGUCACUGGAAACAUCGCUGCAGCAAAUGAAACACUUGAUGUCACAGAUCCUGACUGGUGCGGUUGCUAAUCUUGGUAAAGAUUAAGAUCAGAUAAAGACCUUUUAUAUACUGAAAGAGGACAUAAUCUAACCUACAAAACAUUACUAGUAAUUAGGGGUGGGGGAAAAAAUCGAUUUUUC